AGAAAGGAGGAGGAAGAGGAAUGGGAAGGGAGGGGAGAGAAAAGGACAGGAGAGGAUGGAAGAUUUCCUGGGCAAAGAAAAGUGGUCAAUCAGCUUUUCAUGAUCACCACUAAGGACUCAGUUAUAGAGUGGGAGGAUUCCAAAGUUUCUAAAAAGAGGAACUCACCACAGUAGACCAAGAUUUGUCACUCUCUCAACCUGGAGGUAUCUGUCUUUUCUGCAGCAUCACAUGGAAUUUGUUCGGGGCUGGAUCGGAAGAGGAGACAAGCUGACUUGGACUAUAGAACAGCAAGCAACCUCUUACAAGAAGGAAAAUGUCUUUCAAAGCCAAACAGCAGGCACAAUGCAAAGCACUGAAUCCCUGAUCAAGAGGUCAAAUUGGAUUAAGACUCAAGUUGGCCACAGACACAAGCCUGUGGGACAGCCUGGCCUUCAGACCCAGGAGAGACAUCUGCUGGUGGGACUCAGUGACAGGCCUGAGUUCCCUGAAGGAAUGGAGAGAGAGAGAGAGAGAUUGAUUUGCCCAGCAGGGAAUGUAGAUGGCCAUGCCAUGCUGAGUCAACCAACAGAGCCCUGCCCUAGCAAGCUCAGCCCUUGGGUCUAGGCUGCCCCAAGGUGAGCCUUUCACCUCCAAGGAAAGCUUCUAUCACCCUGAUGCUCUUGAGCUUGAGAAACCUAUAUUCCAACGGGACACAGAAAGAAGAUUUCACCUGUGUCAGUAAGGAACCAGAUCUUCCUGGAAGAUCAAUGCUCUCUUUCCCUCCUGGAUUUUCAUCCAUCAGCUCAGAACAGCUCUAAAGAAAGAGAAUGGGAGUUCCCGUGUGGCUCAGUGGUUAACGAACCUGACUAGCAACCAUGAGGACGCAGGUUCAAUCCCUGGCCUCGCUAAGUGGGUUAAGGAUCCAGCAUUGCCAUGAGCUGUGGUGUAGGUCGGAGAUAAGGCUCGGAUCCCUCAUUGCUGUGGCUGUGACACAGGCUGGUGGCUACAGCUCUGAUUUGAACCCUAGCCUGGGAACUUCCAUAUGCCACAGGUGUGGUCCUAAAAAAGUCAAAAGACAAAAAAGAAAAGAAAAGAAAGAAAGAAUGAAAUUGAUUGCAGACUUCCAUUUCCUAAAGUUAAUCGUACUAUUACCUGUGGUGGCUACAUAUCAGCUCUAAGCAAUAUGCCCUUUAAGGCUGUUUUCCAUUCACUUGUGAUCUGCUGCUUAUCCGUUCUGGAUACCCCUUUCACUUUCUGGGCAUUUUCACAUGAAACUUAUUAUAAGAGAGAGUUCCAGGAGUUCCCUGGUGGCUCAGCAGUUUAAGGAUCCAGCGUUGUCACUGCUAUGGCAUGGAUUUGAUCCUUGGCCUGGGAACUUCCACAUAUUCCUGGAGCAGGACCCCAAAAGAGAGAGAACAGGCUCGUGGUUGCCUAGGGGAAGGGGGAGAGAGAGGGAGUAGAAUGGACUGGGAGCUUGGGGUUAAUAAAUGCAAACUCUUGCAUUUGGAGUGCAUAAGCAAUGAGAUCCUGCCGUAUGGCACAGGGAACUAUAUCUAGUAUGGUGUGAUGGAGCAUGGGGGAGGAUAAUGUGGGAAAAAGAAUGUGUGUGUGUGUGUGUGUGUGUGUCACUGGGUCUCUUUGCUGUACAGCAGAAAAUUGACAGAACACUGUAAACCAACUAUGAUGGAAAACACAAAAAUCAUUUUUAAAAAAGAGAGAGAGACUUCCAUUUCUUUCCUUGCUCCUGUCAGAAACAGAAGUAGGAGAAAUGCUUUGUACUGAAAUGUUCAUUUCUAUACUUCACAAACCUGAGAUUCUAUAUGACAGUUAUUGCCCUCAAAACAUGCCCUCCCCCAAAGUAACUGCAGCUCUAUAAACUGCAUUCAAAUUGGGAACUUUGGGUUCUCAUUGUAUCAUUACAUGCACCGGAUAAUAAAUUCUACAUGUUUGAAUA
This 1934-nucleotide long non-coding RNA is filed under the name Sus scrofa (pig). Its description in RNAcentral is "lncRNA (ENSSSCG00025006621.1, ENSSSCG00035033621.1, ENSSSCG00050036006.1, ENSSSCG00065004251.1)". The record is from RNAcentral. Lineage: Eukaryota; Metazoa; Chordata; Mammalia; Artiodactyla; Suidae.